CAGAACCUCCUAAAAAAUCAGAUUUUUAAUGCAUGCAUACUUCCCACAUUGACUUACGGCUCCCACACAUGGGCUUUAAUAAAAAAAAUUAUGAAAAAAAUUGAGACAACCCAUAACUCAUUGGAAAGGUCCAUGCUAAAAUUACAGAAAAUAUCUAUAACAAAAUAAGAAUAAAAACAAUGACUUGCCUAAUCAUUAUGUAAAACAAUAAUAACUCGGAUAUACUCGUAGCGUAAUUUUUCUGGACAUUAAUUGGCAUAACGUCAGUACUUACCACUUCGGCAUUUACAAAAAUGCCAAAUAAAUAUUUUCCACUUGCACAUAGGUAGGUAGGGUGGAGGAGGUCAAAAAGAGGUAUUAUUUCACCUUGAAGGGGGACAAAAAACUCGUCCGGGGAUGGAUAGGUUGGUAUCUUGGAUGCUGAAAAUACAAGAUUUUCUGUCGGGCUCCUGCAAAAUCAAAGGUUAUGCUACCCUAAACGCAAUUUUUGCCUAUUUUUGCCCAUUUUUUGAGCUUUUUCCGCCUAAGUUCCUGAUGUAUGUGUGGGUGGGAGAACUAUUUUUUCUCACAUAACCCGUUACACCACAUCUUUACCUUACUUUUCCAAAAUCACCUCAUUUACAAAAUUCAACCAGUACGUUUCGUUGUAAUUAAUUUUCAAAGUUGCGUAUAGGUACAUACGACUUUUCGUCAUUGGCACGACAGAAAAAGGUGAUUUGAACCAUAGGACAUUCGAACGACAAAAUAGGGUAUUUCACUGACAAUUUUUUAACGACGACGGUUCAGCAAGACAAUUUAGGUAUACUACGAAUGACAAUUCGAUUUUAUAUUAUAAUGACAAAAGAAAUGUAAUCCACAUCCAAGUUUUGCUUUUUUGGUCAAAACCACCAAAAAGAUCUUGCUUUUCAUCGAAACUAGGCAUUAAAUAUUCUCUUUUUUUUGCCAAUACUGUCAAAAAAUCUUACUUACUUUUCAUUAACUCGCAGCUGUUAUCGAAAAGUAACGUUUCAGUCCUCUUAAACGCACCGAAAAAUACUUCUCGCGUUGCCAAUAAAAGAGCUGCUUUCGUGCGUCAACGCAGGAGUGGGAAAACGCACUUUCAUGAUAUCAGUAAUGAAAAAAUUUUUAUUGUUCCAACAAUUGCAAAAAAAUCCUUCUUGUGCUGUAGAUGAACUGUUUUUUUUUUUUGUUGUUGUGUUUUUUUAUGUGUUAUUUAUCAAUCUUUGUAUGUGUAAUUCAUAUUUUUUAUGACGUCCAUUAUUUCAUUUCUUUGGCGUGCACAAUUGGUCGUUAUAAUGUAUAAGGGCAUUAAAUUAUUUUGUCGGGCAAUAUCUUAUAUACCCUACUUGUGUAUCGUCAUUCUUUUUUUUCGUCGUGAAAUGAUUCUUUUCCCGUGCAACAUCUUUUCUUAUCGUUAGAAUGCCAUUUUUUCGACGUGAAAAUGCCUAUUUGUAUUUCUGUCAUGUCGAUAAAUCACCCCAAAAGUCAAAUGUGUACCAACUUGGCUAUUUUUUUUUCAAAAAUGGCCCUGUGACGUAUCAAAAUGGGUUAAAAUUUUGCCCUGAACUCAAAAAUAUCAACAGUUUUCGUGUUAUCUCCCAUCCCACGUACUAACCCUCAAAAAAACUGAAAAAUUUUUGAUCUAGAGUAAAUAUUGCUUCAUACAUAUAAAUAGAUGUCUUCUAUUUAGCUCCUUUCUGUGGCCUUAUCAAAAUCAUUCAUUCAUGAAUUUUGUAUUCUCUUGAUGAAAUUCAAAGUGGAUGAACAAUUGAGAGGAAGGGGGAGAAUUGGUGAAAUAAAAAAUCGCUAUAAUCAGUGAAGUGGUAAACAGCUAAAUUUCAGGAGAAAACUGCAUCAUUUUGAUGAAAGAAGCGUGAAUUUUGGUAUGAUGCAUUUUAGGCACAAAAUGAAGUUUUUAAGACCGGGAGCCACUCGAGCUUACCCCUCUUUCGAAGGGGGUGGAGCGUAUAAUUUUGACUUUCAUCAAAUGCAAAUUUUCUCCUGAAAUUUAGCUGUUUACCUCUUCACUAGUAUAGAGAUUUUUCAUUCCACCCAUAAUUCUCUCCCUUCUUCGCAAUUGGUCACCCUCUUUGAAUUUCAUCAAAAGAGAAUACGAAAAUUGUGAAUAAAUGAUUUUGGUAAGGCCGCAGAAAGUAGCUAAAGUGAAGCAAUCUAUUUACACAUGAAGCAAUAUUUACUUUAAAUCAAAAAAUUUUCAGGUUUCGGGGGGUCAGUACGCGGGAAGGGGGGUAAACACGAAAACUGUUGAUAUUUUUGAGUUCAGCGCGAAAUUUCAACUCAUUUUGAUAGGUCACACGGCCACUUUUGAAAAAAAAACUGCCAAGUUGGAAUUUGAUGAAAAGUCGUACUCAUGCUACUUUGAAAAAAUGAAAAUUAUCAAUUACGAGUACGAUGAAAUGUGCCGGUCGAAUUUCGUGAAUGUGGUGAUUUUAGAAAGGCAAAGUUGCGGUGUAACGAGAUAUAAGAGAAGAAAUUGUUCCCUGUGCAUACAUCAGGAUCUAGGGCGGAAAAAGGUCAAAAAAAAAGGGCAAAAAUACGCAAAAAUUGUGAUUAGGGUUGCAUAACUUUUGAUUGUGCAGGAGGUCGAUAGGAAAUUUUGUUUUUUUUUUAGCAUUGUUAAAUAGAUAUAUAGAGGCGUUGCCAAUGAUGGGAGGAUAAGAAUAUUUCCCUAGUAGGUCAGGAUGAAUCUAACUCCCUAAGAGAUGUAAUAUAUCACCUUUUAAAAUAGUACUUACCCGCUGCUAGCUCAGCUCUUACAACACCAAUAUGUAUAAAUUUAAACAGAUUUAGUCGAGUUUACCUUGUAUUAAUUCGAACUGCACGCGAAAUAAGAACACACGAUAAACACGAACAGUGUAUUAUAAUUUAAGUAAUAAAUUACAACACGAUACUUAAGUCUAAAAUAUAUAAAAAACUCUACGCGUAUAACCAAUAUAUAUUCCACCGAAUAGUGGCGUAAGUAGGAUCGCUUUUACCCACCUACGUGUAACUAUCAAAUUGCCCGCGUUGGGUAGCGAAUUUAGAAGACUUAAGUUUAAACGCGAAUACUCUCCCUUAAACACGAACGUUAAGGCAGAGGACCUGGGACUCAAGCACAACUCUUACGUAGGAGUGAGUGGCCUUAUUACUUUUCCGCGGUCAGACCUACCAGACGAAGCGCGAAUCGACAAGUGAAGAUCAAUUCCAUCUCAACUUGGCUUCUAGCCUCGAGUCGAGAAGGAAUUGAGCUUUACGAACUUGUGAGCUUUUCACAUCUGCCCUUAAUGGAACGAUGUGAAAACACCUCUUGGGUGGUUCCCACGUACUUAACACCUUACCUAAGUGCAUCGAGUAUAUGCUUUCAUCUACGUAAAGUACUGUAGAAUCGAACUAUUGAUUGGAUUCUCCAGUACUUCCUUUAGAUGAAAGAUUUAUAAACCCACUGAGAGAGAUACGAUGAAUAUCCCUGUCUAGCCAGUGAAGGCAUAUUGUCCCCUUACAUUUGCCCCUAACGUGGGUUUACUUCUAAAGUAUCCCCUGAGGAAAUGUAGAGGAAAGCACGGAAAUUUUGAAAAAAGGUGACAUUGUGCUUCACUGGAUGUGACCCUAUUGCCCCCCGUACUUUGCUUGAGUGAUGCGGGGAAUAGUAAUCCCAAAAUAAAUUUUGAAACUCUUUGGUUUUUAUUAUAAUUCCAAAAGUGAGGUGGAUUUUGAGUGUGCUGGUGAGUUGACUCUUACUGAUAAAGAGUAACUACAAUUGACCAUCAAUAUUUGACCGAAGUCAAGAUAUCAAUAAAUCAAUCCAGAAGCUACCUUUGAUCUGGUCACUCCACAGCAGGGUCAUGGCCGAAAUGGUAAGUAUUUAAGUACGAUUUAAUCUUUGAGGGGGAGGGUUAAUCUAAAAGGUACCCUUCCUCAAUUUUAUGAUUUCAGGAGAAGAUGAAAAAAGCUCAAGAAGUUCGUGGUUGUUUGGCUUUGUUGUCUUUGGAUAGUCUGACCAAGAAUUUUUGAAGAAAAAAUUGCUGGUGUAUUUUGGUCAACGACGAUGGCAAGAGAAUUACUUUGUUUAUCAAAAACUAAAGAUAAGUACAAAAACAUAUUUACAUUUUUAUUAAAUAAUGUAAAAUUUAAGAGCAUUUUUGUUUCUUAGGAUUAAUCAGUCUAAUUUAAACGCAUGAUCGAUUUAAAAUAUCUGUACAUUUUUUAUUUCUAAAAAAAAAUUUUAAAGUUAUGAAAUAAAUUAAAUAAAAAAUGUUGUUUUUGUUUAGGACCAGUUCAGAGAAAGAUGGGUGAAACUUAAAAUAGGAUUGAGCCAAAGUUGAACCAGUCUGUUGGGAUAUUUUUCGUAUUUACAAUAAGUAAGAAGACAAAGAAGAUUUCCUUAACUAAUAAUGCACAGAUCCUUUUUCUUGGCUCAUGGACUUCUUUUCCAGGUUGUAUUUUCUUUUAGAAAAUAAUUUUAGAUAGAAAUUAAAAAUAAAAUUUGAGUAAACUUAUGCCAUUUUUGUUCCACAGGAAGACAAAGAUAGCUAGAUUUUUGAAAGGAAUGUUAUCCGUCUACAGUCUGAGUCAACAUGGCCUUCUGUGCCCUGAAUGUGAUAUCUUUGUUAAAAAAGAAUUUUAAAAAAAGUAAAAUUAAAAUUUUUGUAAAUUUUUAGAAAAAAUUUUUUGAAUUUGAAUUUUUUGAUUCUGUAAACGUAUUUUACGUUAAUAUAAGGUUGUAAAA
Molecule: long non-coding RNA, 4726 nt
Organism: Planococcus citri (citrus mealybug)
Lineage: Eukaryota; Metazoa; Arthropoda; Insecta; Hemiptera; Pseudococcidae
Exons: 3
Source: RefSeq, a predicted model, not a curated record